Molecule: ribosomal RNA, 543 nt
Filed under: Corynebacterium auriscanis
Lineage: Bacteria; Bacillati; Actinomycetota; Actinomycetes; Mycobacteriales; Corynebacteriaceae
Description: bacterial SSU rRNA
Rfam family: Bacterial small subunit ribosomal RNA
Source: RNAcentral
UGCGAGCGUUGUCCGGAAUUACUGGGCGUAAAGAGCUCGUAGGUGGUUUGUCGCGUCGUUAGUGAAAGCCCGGGGCUUAACUCCGGGUCUGCUGGCGAUACGGGCAUAACUUGAGUGCUGUAGGGGAGACUGGAAUUCCUGGUGUAGCGGUGGAAUGCGCAGAUAUCAGGAGGAACACCGAUGGCGAAGGCAGGUCUCUGGGCAGUAACUGACGCUGAGGAGCGAAAGCAUGGGUAGCGAACAGGAUUAGAUACCCUGGUAGUCCAUGCCGUAAACGGUGGGCGCUAGGUGUGGGGGUUUUUCACGACUUCCGUGCCGUAGCUAACGCAUUAAGCGCCCCGCCUGGGGAGUACGGCCGCAAGGCUAAAACUCAAAGGAAUUGACGGGGGCCCGCACAAGCGGCGGAGCAUGUGGAUUAAUUCGAUGCAACGCGAAGAACCUUACCUGGGCUUGACAUAUACGGGAUCGGCGUAGAGAUACGUUUUCCCUUGUGGCUCGUAUACAGGUGGUGCAUGGUUGUCGUCAGCUCGUGUCGUGAGAUGU